RNAcentral lists this transfer RNA (88 nucleotides) under Variovorax sp. WDL1. Its description in RNAcentral is "tRNA-Leu". RNAcentral also lists the same sequence under 2 other names. The record is from RNAcentral. Lineage: Bacteria; Pseudomonadati; Pseudomonadota; Betaproteobacteria; Burkholderiales; Comamonadaceae.
CCCCGCGUGGCGGAAUCGGCAGACGCGGUUGCCUCAAAAGCAGCUGCCCUCAAGGGCGUGUCCGUUCAAGAUCGGAUCCCGGGGACCA